UACGGAGGGGGCUAGCGUUGUUCGGAAUUACUGGGCGUAAAGCGCGCGUAGGCGGCUUUGUAAGUUAGAGGUGAAAGCCCGGAGCUCAACUCCGGAACUGCCUUUAAGACUGCAUCGCUAGAAUUGUGGAGAGGUGAGUGGAAUUCCGAGUGUAGAGGUGAAAUUCGUAGAUAUUCGGAAGAACACCAGUGGCGAAGGCGACUCACUGGACACAUAUUGACGCUGAGGUGCGAAAGCAUGGGGAGCAAACAGG
This 253-nucleotide ribosomal RNA is filed under the name uncultured bacterium. Its description in RNAcentral is "partial 16S ribosomal RNA". It matches the Rfam family "Bacterial small subunit ribosomal RNA", at positions 524 to 776 of the family's 1533-position model. The record is from RNAcentral.